Acanthosepion pharaonis is the source of this 106-nucleotide non-coding RNA. NCBI's taxonomy places the organism in Eukaryota, Metazoa, Mollusca, Cephalopoda, Sepiida, Sepiidae. The record is from the annotation of a GenBank genome assembly.
UUACGGCCACAUUGCGUUGAAACACCGGUUCCCGUACGAUCACCGAAGUUAAGCAACGUCGAGACUGGUCAGUAACAAGAUGCGUGAGAAUACCAGGUGAUGUAGU